Molecule: ribosomal RNA, 377 nt
Filed under: uncultured bacterium
Lineage: Bacteria
Description: bacterial SSU rRNA
Rfam family: Bacterial small subunit ribosomal RNA
Source: RNAcentral
AUACGUAGGUGGCGAGCGUUGUCCGGAAUUACUGGGCGUAAAGGGCGUGUAGGCGGCGAUUUAAGUCAGAUGUGAAAGCCCAGGGCUUAACCCUGGAAUUGCAUUUGAGACUGGAUGGCUUGAGGAUCGGAGAGGGCAGUGGAAUUCCCAGUGUAGCGGUGAAAUGCGUAGAUAUUGGGAGGAACACCAGUGGCGAAGGCGACUGCCUGGACGACACCUGACGCUGAGGCGCGAAAGCCAGGGGAGCAAACGGGAUUAGAUACCCCGGUAGUCCUGGCCGUAAACGAUGGGUACUAGGUGUGGGAGGUAUCGACCCCUUCCGUGCCGCAGUUAACACAAUAAGUACCCCGCCUGGGGAGUACGGCCGCAAGGUUGAA